This 460-nucleotide ribosomal RNA is filed under the name uncultured bacterium. Its description in RNAcentral is "partial 16S ribosomal RNA". It matches the Rfam family "Bacterial small subunit ribosomal RNA", at positions 338 to 795 of the family's 1533-position model. The record is from RNAcentral.
CCUACGGGAGGCAGCAGUGAGGAAUAUCGGUCAAUGGACGAGAGUCUGAACCAGCCAAGUAGCGUGAAGGAUGACUGCCCUAUGGGUUGUAAACUUCUUUUAUAUGGGAAUAAAAUGUUCCACGUGUGGGAUUUUGUAUGUACCAUAUGAAUAAGGAUCGGCUAACUCCGUGCCAGCAGCCGCGGUAAUACGGAGGAUCCGAGCGUUAUCCGGAUUUAUUGGGUUUAAAGGGAGCGUAGGUGGAUGGUUAAGUCAGUUGUGAAAGUUUGCGGCUCAACCGUAAAAUUGCAGUUGAAACUGGCAGUCUUGAGUACAGUAGAGGUGGGCGGAAUUCGUGGUGUAGCGGUGAAAUGCUUAGAUAUCACGAAGAACUCCGAUUGCGAAGGCAGUUCACUGGACUGCAACUGACACUGAGGCUCGAAAGUGUGGGUAUCAAACAGGAUUAGAUACCCCUGUAGUC